CGGCAGAGUCACAUGCCUGAGGCAGCCUCCUGGAGGUCCUGCCUGCCUCGAAGGCCCACAGCCCUGCCUCAGGUGGAACUGGUAACCUGGCACCUGCAAGCAUGGGCUUUUGACUUGGCAUCAAGACUCACUGCCAGGCCUAAGGAAACAAACACUGAGGUGAAAGAAAUGCACUAUUUCUGGCACACCUGGAUGUGUAGAACAGGAUUCUACCUGCCACUACCAAGGCCUAGCUCCAGCCUCAAACCUGUGACCAAGCCUCAAGAGGGGACAGGUCAGAGCCACCGCAAUUAACCAGGUAAGGGAUGAAGCUUGGACCAGUGCAGUCAGGUGGUAGAGUCGGAGAGAAGCAGGAGGUAAAGGCAGGUAAGUUUAGGAGGUAAGACUGACAGAACUUGGAGGGUACUGGUAAGGAAGAAGAAGGAGUCAGGAGUAACCCCCAUUAGCAGCUUGAGCAAUUGGGGAGAUGCAGGUGCCAUUCCUGAGCUCAGGAGUAGAGAAGGACCAGUUGGGGGGUAGGUGGGAUGGGUUGGGUUCUGAACACGCUGGGUCUGAGAUACCAAGAGAAGAUGUCACGUAGGCACUUGAAUAUAUGACGUGAAGCUUCGAGAAGUCUGGGCUGGGGGUGUAAAUCUGGGAGUCGUCAGCUUUGUGUGUGGUCCCUGAACAAUGGACACAGAUGUGAUCCCAAGGGAAACAGUAGAGAAAGAAGAGAGGGGGCCUAGGCACGGGCUGAAGAAAACCAACCUUUAAUGGGCAGGCAGAAGAGGAUGCCCCUAGAAAGCAGGUCAGAGAGGCGGGAGAGAGACGAGGAGAAUAAGGCACGAGAAAAGAAGGAGAAAGUGGGACGCAGCCGAGAGGUCACACACACUGAGGGAUUGCAAAUGCCCAUUGAACUGAGUGACGCAGAAGCCACUGACGACUUUGGAAAGAAUCAUUUCACCGGAGAGACAGGCCUGGAAUUGCAAAAGGAGAGAGUGGACGAGCAGGAGACAGGCAAACGGAGUCGGGAGGGCAAAGACUGGUGGGAGGCUGUGCUGAGGACAGAAGGGGGCCGCUGCCAGAGGGAGCAGCGGGGUUCAGGAAAGCUGUUAAAGGUGAUUAAAGUCAUUAAUAUUUUUUUUCAUUUUAACAGUUUUACUGAGGUAUAACUAAUAUACAAUAAGCUGCACAUUUAAAGUGCAACAAUCUGAAAAGUUUGACAUGAACACAUCUGUGAGAUCAUCACCAUUGUCAACCACAUUUUUUCAUCCCCCAGUAUCUGCUUGCCCUCCCUCCUGCUCCCCUCACCCCCAUUCCCAGACACUCACUGACCUGCUUUCUGUUACUAUAGUUUGCAUUUUCUAGAAUUUUAUAUAAAUGGAUUUUUACAUACUUUUAACCUUUUAAAAAAGGUACUUGGGCUUCCCUGGUGGCGCAGUGGUUGAGAAUCU
Molecule: long non-coding RNA, 1433 nt
Organism: Orcinus orca (killer whale)
Lineage: Eukaryota; Metazoa; Chordata; Mammalia; Artiodactyla; Delphinidae
Exons: 3
Source: RefSeq, a predicted model, not a curated record